UGGCUCAGUUGGUAGAGCAUUGCUCUUGCAAUGUUAAGUUUGUGGGUUCAUUUCCCAU
This 58-nucleotide transfer RNA is filed under the name Salmo salar (Atlantic salmon). It matches the Rfam family "tRNA", at positions 8 to 63 of the family's 71-position model. Rfam says of the family: Transfer RNA (tRNA) molecules are approximately 80 nucleotides in length. The record is from Rfam by way of RNAcentral. Lineage: Eukaryota; Metazoa; Chordata; Actinopteri; Salmoniformes; Salmonidae.